ACUUGCAUUCUAGUUCUUUGAAAAAUCUCUCUCCUUUCGUGCAAAAUCAAAACAAUAUUUUUUUGGCUACAUUGGAAGCUUUAAAAUAUAAUUAUACAAAGAAAUACAAUAAAAUAAUUCAUUUGUAGGAUAAUUAAUAUUUAUCUAGAUUUAAUAAUUUAAAGUAAUCAUAUAAUUUCUAGAUAUCAAAGUAUUCAUUUUUAAUGUUAACCUAAUUCUUCUUGCUUUUAAUAUUUUAGGCCACUUGGUCAUUCUGGCAUUUUAUGGUAGAGAAUACAUUGAGUUUGGCUCAUGGAAAGAAUAUGAGUCCCAGCACAGUUGAAGAAUAUAGCACAGUUGCCUCAGUAUUGAUGGCUCGCUCUACUGGGAGCAUCUCUCUGGGUGCAUUCUUUACUGCUGAACCAACAGGGAAGGUCCCGUGGUUAUAUGUACAAUAUUGUUAACCGUGUUAUGUAUUAUUUAUAUGUAUCAUUUUCAAUUAAAAUUAUUUUGAUUCUGGUUGCUUUUUAGUUAUAUUUUUGCAUUCAAAUGAAAAAAAGUGUCUUCGCAAUAGUGAAAGUGAAAGUCACUCAGUUGUGUCCGACUCUUUGCAACCCCGUGGNNNNNNNNNNNNNNNNNNNNNNNNNNNNNNNNNNNNNNNNNNNNNNNNNNNNNNNNNNNNNNNNNNNNNNNNNNNNNNNNNNNNNNNNNNNNNNNNNNNAGUGAAAGUCACUCAGUUGUGUCCGACUCUUUGCAACCCCGUGGACUAUAUAGUCUGUGGAAUUCUCUAGGCCAGAACACUGGAGUGGGUAACUCUUCCCUUUUCCAGGGGGUCUUCCUAAACCAGGGAUUGAACCCAGGUCUCUUGCAUUGCAGGAGGAUUCUAUUACCAGUUGAGCCACAAGGGAAGCCCAGGAAUACUUGAGUGGGCAGCCUAUCCCUUCUCCAGCAGAUCUUCCCAACCCAGGAAUCAAACCAGAUUAUAGGCGGAUUCACAAUAGAGGAAUGCUAAAUAAGGCUGCCAACUUUCUGUUUUUAAGUUCUUUGUUUUGAAAAUUUAAUCAGAAGGAUCUCAUCCUGGAACUUCCCAGGUGUGUUUUCCACGUUUCACAGAUGUGAUUGGAAGAGAAAUCAUUCCUGUUUAUCUGAAUGAGAAUGCUUUGGUAAAAUUCCUUUGAUUCUAAGAUAACUAGAUGAAAUGUGUUGCAUAAAUCAUGUCAAGCAAACAGUUGUCACCUGGCACUAGAGCUUGAUGAAGUUUUAAAAUGUUCGCUUUUUGCCUGUAGUGUUCAGUUGUGAUUCUAUAGAAAGUCUGUUUGUACAGAUGAAGCAGCUCUUGGUAAUGCAAAUGGUAGGGCCUGUGUGAGUUUAUUGCAGAGACACCUAUUCUGAGUUCCCAAGACACACUCAUCAAGACUUUGUUUUAAUGUCUCAGUGCUCUCCCUUUGGCAUACUUAUAAGAAAAUGAAAUAGACCCUUAAGUUGCUAAAACCCUUACUGUUUACAUAGUUCAUUGUCUACACAGUGCAGGAAUGCUUUCAGUAAAGUUUCCAGAAGACAGUCAAAUUUGGACUGUAAGAUACUGCUUUUAUUUGCAGCUAUUAACUCUCUGUCCAACCUAGUCUUCAGUUUCAUCUUUUAACAAAAGUUCUACAUCCCUCUUUACUUAUUGGCAGUUUAGUCUGCCAAUUUUCCUAACCUUUUUAACAAAAUGAUAAAGAUCUACUCAGCAUGUGCAGAAAAGGGAUGAUGAACCCAUGCUCUUUGAUUCUAGAAUAUACUAAAGGGGUAUGCACUUCACAGUGGGCCAAACUUUCUUCCUAAAAAGUACAUUAUAUUUUGCCAUUUCCAGGCUUUAAAAUUUCUGUCAUUUGUAGGAACACUUUUUUUUUUAUGUCUUUGGCUGUCAUAUACACUUAAAAAAAAUUCCUUUCUUUUCAUCUCCCAACUUCUCAUUACAUUGCCUCUCUGUGCAGUGCUUAGUGGCUCAGUCCUGUCCAGCUCUGCGAUCCCAUGGAUAGACUGCAGCCCACCAGGCUCCUCUGUCCAUGGGAUUCUCCAGGCAAG
Molecule: long non-coding RNA, 2046 nt
Filed under: Capra hircus (goat)
Lineage: Eukaryota; Metazoa; Chordata; Mammalia; Artiodactyla; Bovidae
Description: lncRNA (ENSCHIG00010028807.1)
Source: RNAcentral